This 253-nucleotide ribosomal RNA is filed under the name uncultured bacterium. Its description in RNAcentral is "partial 16S ribosomal RNA". It matches the Rfam family "Bacterial small subunit ribosomal RNA", at positions 524 to 776 of the family's 1533-position model. The record is from RNAcentral.
UACAGGGGGUGCAAACGUUGCUCGGAAUCAUUGGGCGUAAAGCGCACGUAGGCGGUCUGUUAUGUCGGAUGUGAAAGCCCUCGGCUCAACUGAGGAAGUGCAUCCGAAACUGGCAGGCUAGAGUACUAAAGAGGGUCGCGGAAUUCCCGGUGUAGAGGUGAAAUUCGUAGAUAUCGGGAGGAACACCAGUGGCGAAGGCGGCGACCUGGGUAGAUACUGACGCUGAGGUGCGAAAGCGUGGGGAGCAAACAGG